Non-coding RNA from Camellia sinensis, 748 nucleotides. Lineage: Eukaryota; Viridiplantae; Streptophyta; Magnoliopsida; Ericales; Theaceae. The record is from RefSeq and is a predicted model, not a curated record.
AUGCCCUCUGUUUGCAUUUAGGGUUUCAAAGAAUCCCAAACAACCAGAGAUUGACUGUAAGAUCUCCUUUUCAACUAUGUGUACUUAUUUUUCUAGGUAUUAUUUGUUGAAUAAUUCAGUGGUAAUGUUGCCCAUUCCAAUUGCAAAACCAAGCUUCGGCACUUCAUUAUCUUAUCUCCACCUUGAUGCCAUUAUAGGGUUUUUGGGUUUCAUGGGUCUAAUUUGGUUAACUGAUGCUCAAUCGGGGAGAAUGAAUUCAAAGUAGGGGUGCUGCUUGAUGGCACGGAUUAUUCAAUGGCAGCUAGACCAUUGCUGGUGGUAGACUCUCCACUCCACUUGCAGUAGUGGUAACUGCAGGUGUAUGGUUAUUUUGUCGAUCAUUUGUAGCAGUAAGUUAAUUUCUGGUAAAUGCAUACUAAUGUUUAUAUAAUUCAAGAAAAGCAAGAAGAACAACUGUGGAAGGAAAUAUUAAGAUAUACAUAAUUUAGAAAUGUCACUUUCUUCUCUCUUUUUUCCCCCUAUGGUUUUCAUAGUCAAACACUGGAAUCAUGGAAUUUAAUCUUUUGUCGGUGCAUAUAUAUGUAAAGCUGAAUCAUAUGAUAUACUGGCACUCAAUUUUGAAAUAUCUACUAAACUCGUAAGAACUAGUUGAGUUUUUGUAUGUUAAAUGUAUUGAAUUUAUCUGCAUCAUUUUGUGUGCUUUUGUACUAAUUGUAGUGACUAAAGCCAUAAUUUUUUUUUUUUUUUG